UUAAAUUGAAGAGUUUGAUCAUGGCUCAGAUUGAACGCUGGCGGCAGGCCUAACACAUGCAAGUCGAACGGUAACAGGAAACAGCUUGCUGUUUCGCUGACGAGUGGCGGACGGGUGAGUAAUGUCUGGGAAACUGCCUGAUGGAGGGGGAUA
RNAcentral lists this ribosomal RNA (153 nucleotides) under Escherichia coli. RNAcentral describes it as "partial 16S ribosomal RNA". It matches the Rfam family "Bacterial small subunit ribosomal RNA", at positions 1 to 145 of the family's 1533-position model. Lineage: Bacteria; Pseudomonadati; Pseudomonadota; Gammaproteobacteria; Enterobacterales; Enterobacteriaceae. The record is from RNAcentral.